UGCUCCUCAUUUGGUGAUCACAAGGCAGGAUAACGUUAUUCUUGUCUUGAUCAUAGAGUGAGGCAGGACAAUCAGGGAGGGGCUCCCUGAUUGCACCUGGAACUCCUACCAACUGGAUCAUUGCCCAGUCUGGGAAGUACCAGGGCUGUCUGAUGUGAGUUGUGAUGGGAAUGGAAAAAUACUGACCAAGGUCAACUAUCUUGUGAUCCUAUAAACAGUGGUUCUAAAGUGAGAUCCCUUGAGCAAUCCUGGAUCACAGCAGGCUAUGACCCAAUAUCUCUCCCUGAACCAGGAUGCCUUUGAGGGAUGAUUUCUCGAGGACUCAACAAUCAUCUUGAAGAUUUAACGUAGAUUCAAUGAUCAUCUACUGACAGUUUUGCAAAGAUUCAAAGGCCUAAUUUUGCAUGGUUUGAUGAUCAUCCGCUGGUGAAUGUUGACACAUAAAAACAAGUACAGCUGUUGAAAAUAAGAAAAAUUAGAACACAUAUCAACCUCGAAAUGCAAUCACAUCAAUUUAAAUCCAAUGAGCACUUCUGAUAGAAGUCUACAUCUAUGAAUGAAAUGUUCUUCCUCUACUGUUCCUCAGGGAAGUUAAAGACCAGCAAAAAAAGAAGCUGCAGUUACACUUUCUUACACUAGAGCCUUGAAACUGGUGGAAAGAGCCUGGCUUGAAUGAAACCUCUGGCAGCAGCACUGGGCCUCAGGGGAGGAAUUGCCCAGGCCCUGUUUAUGCCCUGGGCUUGGUGGUGGUUCAGGGCAGCUCAGCAGUGCUGCCAUCCUGGCACUUCUUGCUGUCAGCAGACCUCUCAAGACUGAAAUACAGACUCAUGAUUACUCUCAUUAUAUCUAUUAGCCCAGAUCUGACCAGCUCAACACAGGAAAAAGAAAAAAAAAAAAGCUAAUUACUCCCUAGCUUGGCUGUUGUGGGCUAACAAAUUCUUUCAUAUAAUAAGCCAUAUUAGGAAAGCUGGUGAAAGUUUAAGAGAAAAUAAAGUGCUGACUUUCUUAGGAAAUAAAUGUGUCUCCUUCAGCUUUUUAAAGAGCAAAAUUAACAAGAGCAGAGGAUCUCUCCUGUGUGUCUGCAUGCCAGCUCAAUUUAUUUACUUCUCUGGCACAACUGAAUAUCCACUAAGGCUGCUUCUGAAAGAUGUUUUAUUUUGGAAUCAGACUCUAGAUUACAGACCUUGUAAUAUUUUUUCCAGUGUACCAUGAAUGAUGAGAAUGGGCUUGAUAUGCUGACAGGUAAUUCAAAGACUGGAAAGCCUACCUAUAUCAGCUAGGUAAUGAUUCCCUUCUCUCUUUAAAUUUUAUUAAAUUUACAUAAGAAAGAAACUGUAAUGUAGAGGCAUUGACAUGUGCAAAACAUGCUAUGGUGUAUGAAUUUAAGACAAGCCAUUAAUCUAUAGUAACUGCCCUAGGCAGACUCCUCACUCACAAUGUAUUGUGGGGUAGCAAAUGCUGUUUUCACUCAAAGGCAAGCAAUUUAACAUGAAUUUGCAUUUGCUAAUGAAUAAUUGAGUAAACGACCUAACUCUGUAAAUUCACUGUCUAGCUUGCUUUGUGGUAGGUUGUUCAUAAUUUCAUACACUAAAACUUGACUACAAAUGAACCUCCACCUCUUCAUCUCUCUUAGCAAUGUAAGAAGUUUCUUAUAUUGGGAAGGUUUGUAUGAACAAGUGGGCAAGUUAUAUCAGUAUGAAACAGCAGUACACUGGUAUAACUGCAUUUACACUGGAAUUGUAGCACUAUAUUACUAGCCCCUUUCAUGUUGCAAUCAAUGCAGGCUAAUGCAAAACUUGUGCAUAGAUUCAAUCUAAUAUAUAUGCUAAUGCACAAUAGCAAACUGCCUCUCUGCUUAAAAUUAUGGAAUAGUAUGCGCACAGUUCACCUCUCUAACUAAAAACCCCGGCAUUUGGCUUUUGAGUGGCCCCAAGAGUACUAGAACAAAGAUGGAUUAAAGUUAAUUUGCACCUUGUCACCUUCAAAGAAUUGACUGCCUAUAUUUUGCAUGUCCAAAUUUUUUUGUAGAUUGAAAUACAGACUAAUUUCCUAAAAAUUGAUCCAUAUUAUAUGACAGUAAAUGAACAAACAAUUAAUGAGCAGGUCAUUUUUCCUCACUGAAAAACAAACAAAUAGAAAAUAAAUUAUUUUCUUCAUUAUUUGAAGGGUGACUAACGAGCCAGUUCUUUUUAGAUUAUUUGAAAUGCAAACAAAAGAUUUUACUUUACAUGCUCCAAGUACCAGCAAUUUAAUGGUAGACAUAGUCCUAAUUUCAGCCCUAAUGUUUUGUCAGUCUAGCACAAUGUUCUCAAAUGAAGGAUUAUAACCUUUUCAGGCAUCAUGAAAGAAUGUGAAAAGAUGCAAAAUGUUAGAAAAAGGAGUACUUUUCCAUUUGCCUAACCCCUACUUGUGCCAAGAAGAGGAGACAUUGCUGUCAUUACUAGCUACAAAUA
Long non-coding RNA from Columba livia (rock pigeon), 2453 nucleotides. RefSeq lists it as uncharacterized. The transcript is spliced from 3 exons. Lineage: Eukaryota; Metazoa; Chordata; Aves; Columbiformes; Columbidae. The record is from RefSeq and is a predicted model, not a curated record.